Molecule: long non-coding RNA, 535 nt
Organism: Paramisgurnus dabryanus
Lineage: Eukaryota; Metazoa; Chordata; Actinopteri; Cypriniformes; Cobitidae
Source: RefSeq, a predicted model, not a curated record
ACUUGGUUUUCAGGUCAGCAAGCCACCUUGAAAACUAAAAGUGCAUUUAGACGCAGAGCGCCACUUGCCAUUUCACCUAAACGUCAAGAUGCUGUAGCGGUCGUCUGCCCAAUGCAACAAGAUGAACGCAGUGAACCUGGUGCAUCUGUACCAGGACUUUUAGAUGUUUCAUCACCAGAAAUCUCUUCGCCUGCUCGUUCUAGCAGCAGAUUGCAGGAAGCCAUUGCUGAAAUCCAGGAGGCACAGAAAGCGUAGACGUGAGAGUGUAAGGUGGGAACGUUUAACCCGAUUAAAGCCCUUCUCAUUUGAUGCACGUGAUGCUGCACAGAGAGUUAAGCGUGAAAGGAGACUGCAAGAGAUUCGUCAGAAACAACAUCAGUUGCUGAAAAGGCGUUCCAAAUUUAAAGCUCAUCCCUUGAGAAAAUACAAACCUAUCCCGCCUCCCACACAAGCAAAGGGUGAUAUGGACAACUAAAAUGUCAAAAAAGGUUUUCAGUGUCGUUUUGUCAAUUUUAAGUAUAAAAAUAAAUUAUUG